This 81-nucleotide transfer RNA is filed under the name Colletotrichum phormii. RNAcentral's name for it is "tRNA-Arg". It matches the Rfam family "tRNA". From Rfam's summary of the family: Transfer RNA (tRNA) molecules are approximately 80 nucleotides in length. Their secondary structure includes four short double-helical elements and three loops (D, anti-codon, and T loops). The record is from RNAcentral. Lineage: Eukaryota; Fungi; Ascomycota; Sordariomycetes; Glomerellales; Glomerellaceae.
GGCCGGUUGGCCCAAUGGCAAGGCGUCUGACUACGACUAAGUGUUAUCAGGAGAUUCUGGGUUCGACCCCCAGGCUGGUCA